UGUAGAAAAGAGAGAGCCGUAAUGCAGAAGAGAAGUUGUGUAUUCUUUCGGUGUACACAUGCAUUUUCAAUUUGCUGUGAAACAUAUGAACAUGCACAGGGAACAAUACUACAUAUUUGUUUAAGGAGGAUAUUUUUCUCGUGUGAAUCGUUUACGAGGAAAUUCUGACAGCCACUCUGUCGACGAUCAGCCGUUGAUAAGCUACGAGUAAUAAAGGAGAAAAGAUGGACAUUAAAGUGUGUGAUUUAUGUGGAUGUUACUGAAGAAGCUCAAAACAGACUCUUGUUACCACAUGGCUUUUACCGGUACCUGUUGAUUCUUGUGUGUCAGCUCCUGAGAUUAACCUGUCACCUCUAUCCACAUGCAUAUUCCUUGUGUUCUACAGACUAUUUACCGGUAAUUCAAAUUAAAUCCGAUAAUGCAUGAAUAAUAAUGGAACUUGAAGAAAGCAUCAUGCCAUGUUGUGGUUUGUGUUUGAUAAGAAAUUAUGAAAACAAAAUUAAGGCUGUUUAAAGAAAUUCAUAAUUGCUGUGAAA
This is a long non-coding RNA of Magallana angulata, 536 nucleotides long. RefSeq lists it as uncharacterized. The transcript is spliced from 2 exons. The record is from RefSeq and is a predicted model, not a curated record. Lineage: Eukaryota; Metazoa; Mollusca; Bivalvia; Ostreida; Ostreidae.